Non-coding RNA from Podarcis lilfordi (Lilford's wall lizard), 76 nucleotides. NCBI's taxonomy places the organism in Eukaryota, Metazoa, Chordata, Lepidosauria, Squamata, Lacertidae. The record is from the annotation of a GenBank genome assembly.
GGCCUUCUGGAAUAGGAGUCAGUAGAGCAUGAGACUCUUAAUCACAGGGCUGUGGGUUCAAGUCCCGCAAUGGUCA